Molecule: ribosomal RNA, 484 nt
Filed under: uncultured bacterium
Lineage: Bacteria
Description: partial 16S ribosomal RNA
Rfam family: Bacterial small subunit ribosomal RNA
Source: RNAcentral
AUUGAACGCUGGCGGCAGGCCUAACACAUGCCAGUCGAGCGGAUGAAGGGAGCUUGCUCCUGGAUUCAGCGGCGGACGGGUGAGUAAUGCCUAGGAAUCUGCCUGGUAGUGGGGGAUAACGUCCGGAAACGGGCGCUAAUACCGCAUACGUCCUGAGGUAGAAAGUGGGGGAUCUUCGGACCUCACGCUAUCAGAUGAGCCUAGGUCGGAUUAGCUAGUUGGUGGGGUAAAGGCCUACCAAGGCGACGAUCCGUAACUGGUCUGAGAGGAUGAUCAGUCACACUGGAACUGAGACACGGUCCAGACUCCUACGGGAGGCAGCAGUGGGGAAUAUUGGACAAUGGGCGAAAGCCUGAUCCAGCCAAGCCGCGUGUGUGAAGAAGGUCUUCGGAUUGUAAAGCACUUUAAGUUGGGAGGAAGGGCAGUAAGUUAAUACCUUGCUGUUUUGACGGUACCAACAGAAUAAGCACCGGCUAACUUCGUG